GAUGAACGCUGACAGAAUGCUUAACACAUGCAAGUCUUUGGCGAAUCUGUGCUUGCACAGGCUAGCCAAGGCGGACGGGUGAGUAACGCGUAAAGAACUUGCCCUGCAGACAGGGAUAACAGACGGAAACGACUGAUAACACCUGAUACAAUUGCCGGCACGCAUGUGCCUGGCAAUGAAAAGAGAUGCUGCGGGAGAGCUUUGCGUCCUAUUAGCUUGUUGGUGAGGUAACGGCUCACCAAGGCGAUGAUAGGUAGCCGGCCUGAGAGGGUGUACGGCCACAAGGGGACUGAGAUACGGCCCUUACUCCUACGGGAGGCAGCAGUGGGGAAUAUUGGACAAUGGGGGCAACCCUGAUCCAGCAAUUCUGUGUGCACGAAGAAGGUUUUCGGAUUGUAAAGUGCUUUCAGCAGGGAAGAAG
This 421-nucleotide ribosomal RNA is filed under the name Leptotrichia sp. oral taxon 225. Its description in RNAcentral is "bacterial SSU rRNA". It matches the Rfam family "Bacterial small subunit ribosomal RNA", at positions 28 to 450 of the family's 1533-position model. Lineage: Bacteria; Fusobacteriati; Fusobacteriota; Fusobacteriia; Fusobacteriales; Leptotrichiaceae. The record is from RNAcentral.